Molecule: ribosomal RNA, 289 nt
Filed under: uncultured bacterium
Lineage: Bacteria
Description: partial 16S ribosomal RNA
Rfam family: Bacterial small subunit ribosomal RNA
Source: RNAcentral
AACGAACGCUGGCGGCAGGCCUUAUACAUGCAAGUCGAACGAGAAAGUUACUUCGGUAAUUAGUAAAGUGGCGCACGGGUGAGUAACGCGUAGAGAUCUACCAAGCAGUGGGGAACAACUAUUGGAAACGAUAGCUAAAACCGCAUACGCCCUACGGGGGAAAUAUUUAUAGCUGUUUGAUGAGUCUGCGUUAGAUUAGCUAGUUGGUAGUGUAAUGGACUACCAAGGCGACGAUCUAUAGCUGGUUUGAGAGGAUGAUCAGCCACACUGGAACUGAGACACGGUCCAG